This 425-nucleotide long non-coding RNA is filed under the name Phaseolus vulgaris (common bean). RNAcentral's name for it is "long non-coding RNA (PVUL_LNC000281)". Lineage: Eukaryota; Viridiplantae; Streptophyta; Magnoliopsida; Fabales; Fabaceae. The record is from RNAcentral.
CAGAAGAAUACGUUUAAACAGUGGAUUAAACUUUAAACAUGCAAAACAAGUGAUGAACAUCAACGAAAUUCAAUUACAACACAAUUGACCAAUUAUAAACAAAAAAACUUAGUUGGAAUAUGUGUUGUUCGACCGUGAAAUGGCUCAUGAUACCACUUGAUGUAAUCCUCCUUAGCUCCAAUAUUAAUGGUUGGAACCAUGAAGGAUUUCAAAAUGAAGAUGCGGAACGUGAAUUACUAAAGGAGAAUCAAGGAAAUGAUAUGGUGGUUUGAAGGAAUAGAGAUUUGGCCAACUUUUCUAGGUUCAUGAGAGAUUAGGCCAACUACUGAGGUGUUCUAGGCUAGCUUCUAAUAGAAGGAAUAACCUAGAGGGAGCUAAGAACAAGUAAAAAGUUGUGCACCAAUUUUGUCAACAAUUCAACAUCG